GCCAUAUCACAUUGAAACACCUGUUCCUGUAUGAUCACUGAAGUUAAGCAAUGUCAAGCCCAGUCAGUACCUAGAUGGAUGACCAUUUGGGAAUAUUAGGUGCUGUAAG
Acanthosepion pharaonis is the source of this 109-nucleotide non-coding RNA. The record is from the annotation of a GenBank genome assembly. NCBI's taxonomy places the organism in Eukaryota, Metazoa, Mollusca, Cephalopoda, Sepiida, Sepiidae.